Molecule: long non-coding RNA, 277 nt
Filed under: Solanum tuberosum (potato)
Lineage: Eukaryota; Viridiplantae; Streptophyta; Magnoliopsida; Solanales; Solanaceae
Description: long non-coding RNA (STUB_LNC002623)
Source: RNAcentral
AAUUUCAUAAGUAAGUUGUCAAGGGAAAAUAUUUGCAUAUCUGGUCCUUACAUCAUCAUCUGAACUGGAGUCAUCGCUGGAUUCUUCCUUUUUAGAGGCAGCAGCAGGUGCCUUCUUAACAACAGCAGGUGCCUUCUUAACAACAGCUUCAUCCUCAGAGCUGCUAUCAUCAGAAUCAUCACUUGACUCGUCUUUCUUAGCGCCAUUAGUAGGAGGUUUCUUGGGUGCAGGUACAUCUUCCUCGGAGCUGCUAUCAUCCGAAUCAUCACUUGACUCA